Molecule: long non-coding RNA, 1091 nt
Filed under: Homo sapiens (human)
Lineage: Eukaryota; Metazoa; Chordata; Mammalia; Primates; Hominidae
Description: HSALNT0253668
Source: RNAcentral
CUGACCUCAGAACCCAGCUUCCCACGUGGGCUGUGAGCCUGACCUCAGAACCCAGCUUCCCACGUGGGCUGUGAGCCUGAAUUCUGCCACAUGGUGGUAGACCAAGCUGGAACUCGUGACGGACGCCGAUGGACAUGAAGCCACCUGAACCCAAACCAUGGACAGCUCCGGAGAGCCACAGGAGCCGAGGCCUCCACGUGUGCCGUGCUGCUGGGAUGCCUGUAACCCUCACAUGCUAGAAGACUUGGGAUUAUACAGAAGAGAAGAAGAUUGCCUCCGAGAUGGGUGUGUCAGCAGACCUGUGCCAAGUGAGCCUCAGUUGAAAGCAGUGACAGACACAAAUCUGUCCAGCUUCAGACACUGUGACAUGUUGCACAUUCACGAGAAUAAUUGCUGCAUUCCCAAAGAACGCCUCUUGGUCCUGGGUAUGUGAUGGAGCCUCAGCUACCCUUGCCGUGAUGUGCUGUUGCUGUUUCUAAGCCCAAAUGUUUUGGCAGCAGUGUCUCUCUAAGGCACCGUGUUUGGUUUUCCGGAAAGGCUUCGUAUUUGGCUGUCAGUGGUCCUAGCGUCAAUGAUACGUGUGCUCAUUUCCAGGUGAUGAAGCUGCUUCCAACCCCCAUGUGCCUAAGGAUCCAUUUACAGAAUAUGUUAAUAAAUGCUAAUGGGCCAUUUUAAGUGAUUGUUAUCAGGCUCUGUUUCUGAAGGCGGACUUCCAUCGAGGGGGAGCCAUCCCCACCCCAGAGGCCGCCCUGCUCAUUUGGACAUUCGCUCUCUCACACAGACUCUUCAGCCCUGGUGCAGGGUCACUGCUGGUUGAAUAGGAGGCUCCAGCAGGUUUAGUCGAUAUGUAAACGAGAAUUUCCUCCCCUCUCCUGGGACUUCUUUUCAUAUCAUUGAUAAACACAAAUAAACAGCAAAGAAAAUAAGCCCAGCAAAAGAUGUUUUAAAUAAUUUUAAAAACCUCCACCUUUUUUCUGUGUCUUGGCAUCUGAAAACUUGAGUAAUCUAUUGAAGCCAUGUUUUAUUGCUUGUGUACGAAAUAAUAUUCCAAGCCCUUUAAUAGGAGAGUAAGGAGUGUUUGUCUGUUCAGA